AAAAUUUUCAACUUGGAAAACCAUCUAGCCUGAUAGCAUGUAAAAUAGCUCCUGUCUAAUUUUAGUUUCACCAAAAUCAACAAACUCAGUAGCAGUUGCUAACUUGGUUCUUCCAUUUCAACAGGAAAGCGAUGCUCGAGAAACAGCGGUAGCAAAAUUGUUUGCAUCUGUGAAGAGGAAUGGGAUGCAAUUCAAUCAAUAUGGCGCUGUUGCCCAGUGC
This 220-nucleotide long non-coding RNA is filed under the name Nicotiana benthamiana. RNAcentral's name for it is "long non-coding RNA (NBEN_LNC000605)". Lineage: Eukaryota; Viridiplantae; Streptophyta; Magnoliopsida; Solanales; Solanaceae. The record is from RNAcentral.